UUUUUUACCUGGCAGUGGAGAUACCAUAAUCACAAAGGUGGUUUUCUAGGGCAAGGCUCAUCCAUUGCACUCUGGAUAUGCUGACCCAUAUGAUUUCCCCAAAUGUAGGAAAUUCAGCUGCAUAAUUUGCGAGGGACUAUGUUUGCACUCUCUUCAG
Small nuclear RNA from Cebus imitator (Panamanian white-faced capuchin), 157 nucleotides. RefSeq annotates it as U1 spliceosomal RNA. The transcript has a single exon. The record is from RefSeq and is a predicted model, not a curated record. NCBI's taxonomy places the organism in Eukaryota, Metazoa, Chordata, Mammalia, Primates, Cebidae.